CCUACGGGAUGCACCAGUGGGGAAUAUUGCACAAUGGGCGCAAGCCUGAUGCAGCCAUGCCGCGUGUAUGAAGAAGGCCUUCGGGUUGUAAAGUACUUUCAGCGGGGAGGAAGGCGAUAGGGUUAAUAGCCUUGUCGAUUGACGUUACCCGCAGAAGAAGCACCGGCUAACUCCGUGCCAGCAGCCGCGGUAAUACGGAGGGUGCAAGCGUUAAUCGGAAUUACUGGGCGUAAAGCGCACGCAGGCGGUCUGUCAAGUCGGAUGUGAAAUCCCCGGGCUCAACCUGGGAACUGCAUUUGAAACUGGCAGGCUAGAGUCUUGUAGAGGGGGGUAGAAUUUCAGGUGUAGCGGUGAAAUGCGUAGAGAUCUGAAGGAAUACCAGUGGCGAAGGCGGCCCCCUGGACAAAGACUGACGCUCAGAUGCGAAAGCGUGGGGAGCAAACAGGAUUAGAUACCCCCGUAGUC
This 465-nucleotide ribosomal RNA is filed under the name uncultured bacterium. RNAcentral describes it as "bacterial SSU rRNA". It matches the Rfam family "Bacterial small subunit ribosomal RNA", at positions 338 to 795 of the family's 1533-position model. The record is from RNAcentral.